RNAcentral lists this ribosomal RNA (409 nucleotides) under uncultured bacterium. RNAcentral describes it as "bacterial SSU rRNA". It matches the Rfam family "Bacterial small subunit ribosomal RNA", at positions 505 to 916 of the family's 1533-position model. The record is from RNAcentral.
GUGUCAGCCGCCGCGGUAACACGUAAGUUGCGAGCGUUGUUCGGAAUUAUUGGGCGUAAAGGGCAUGUAGGCUGAUUUGAAAGCUUGAUGUGAAAUCCCGCAGCUUAACUGCGGAACUGCAUUGAGAACUACAAGACUUGAGUUACUGAGGGGAAACUAGAAUUCCAAGUGUAGGGGUGAAAUCUGUAGAUAUUUGGAAGAAUACCAAUGGCGAAGGCAAGUUUCUGGCAGAUAACUGACGCUGAGGUGCGAAGGUGCGGGGAGCAAACAGGAUUAGAUACCCUGGUAGUCCGCACAGUAAACGAUGUACACUAGGUGUUUGACCAAGAGGUUGAGUGCCAAAGCUAACGUGAUAAGUGUACCGCCUGGGAAGUAUGCCCGCAAGGGUGAAACUCAAAUAAAUUGACGG